This 506-nucleotide ribosomal RNA is filed under the name uncultured bacterium. RNAcentral describes it as "partial 16S ribosomal RNA". It matches the Rfam family "Bacterial small subunit ribosomal RNA", at positions 29 to 523 of the family's 1533-position model. The record is from RNAcentral.
AGUGAACGCUGGCGGUAGGCCUAACACAUGCAAGUCGAACGGCAGCACAGGAGAGCUUGCUCUCUGGGUGGCGAGUGGCGGACGGGUGAGGAAUACAUCGGAAUCUACUUUUUCGUGGGGGAUAACGUAGGGAAACUUACGCUAAUACCGCAUACGACCUACGGGUGAAAGCAGGGGAUCUUCGGACCUUGCGCGAUUGAAUGAGCCGAUGUCGGAUUAGCUAGUUGGCGGGGUAAAGGCCCACCAAGGCGACGAUCCGUAGCUGGUCUGAGAGGAUGAGCAGCCACACUGGAACUGAGACACGGUCCAGACUCCUACGGGAGGGAGCAGUGGGGAAUAUUGGACAAUGGGCGCAAGCCUGAUCCAGCCAUACCGCGUGGGUGAAGAAGGCCUUCGGGCUGUAAAGCCCUUUUGUUGGGAAAGAAAUCCAGCUGGUUAAUAUCCGGUUGGGAUGACGGUACCCAAAGAAUAAGCACCGGCUAACUUCGUGCCAGCCGCCGCAGUAA